Molecule: ribosomal RNA, 113 nt
Filed under: Rubrivivax sp.
Lineage: Bacteria; Pseudomonadati; Pseudomonadota; Betaproteobacteria; Burkholderiales; Sphaerotilaceae
Also listed under: 5 other names
Source: RNAcentral
CCUGAUGACCAUAGCAAGGUGGUCCCACUCCUUCCCAUCCCGAACAGGACAGUGAAACGCCUUUGCGCCGAUGAUAGUGCGGGUUCCCGUGUGAAAGUAGGACAUCGUCAGGC